GACUUGUAACUCUUUAGCAGUGUUCUCUUUUAUUUCUUUAAGUAAGUUAUUAAAUUCCUUCUUCAUGUCCUCCCUCUACCAUCAUCAUGAGAUGUGCUUUUAAAUCCGGGUCUAGCUUUUCCGGUGUGUUGGGGUGCCCAGGACUGGGUGAGAUGGGAGUGCUGCAUUCUGAUGAUGAUUCUACUGAAUUAGUAAGUUGCAGUCUCUCCAAAUUCAGAAAGAAGCAAGAAUGAAAUGCUAGCAUAUAUCUGAAAAAAAGAAUACUUCAAAAUAGAUGGCAGUACUAAUGAAGAGCUCAACUAUACCAUAGAAUCCAGCAAGCUAUGAUCUAUCCCACUGAAGCUGUACUUUGACUGCAGUGACAUUCUGCUUAAACUCAGAAAUAUUGAGUCUCCCUCCCAGUACUAUCAUAAUGAACAAAGAAUUAAAGAAAUCCAGUAUCUCCAGUAAGGUCAAGUCCCAUAGAUUCAGGCAGGGGAGAAUAACAGAAUGUGACUGAUUCAGUUCCCAUGCAUGCAUUCCUGCAUCAGCAGCUCCCUCAGCUUCAACAUGUGAAGUCUCUGUGUAAAUAUAUAAUGGAGCAUAAAUUACAACUAGUACAGUACAAGCAUGAGAAGGGCAACUUGUCUCAUCUUUCUUUGAAAGCUGGAAUGUGAUUUCCAAUAAUAGAGGGUCUCCUACUGUUAUGAGAUAUCUGCAAGCAGUUGUCUACUCAAUGCAUUGACUGUCUUUUAAACUGUUAUUCAAGGCCAGGAGUUAAUUC
RNAcentral lists this long non-coding RNA (763 nucleotides) under Mus musculus (house mouse). Its description in RNAcentral is "predicted gene, 49615". The record is from RNAcentral. Lineage: Eukaryota; Metazoa; Chordata; Mammalia; Rodentia; Muridae.